GCUGGGAAGGUUUUUAAAUUUUAUUUAUUUAUUUAUUUUUGCUACUGCGUGUGAUUAUUAUAAUCUUUGAAAAUCAUUGUGCUAUUAUAUAAUAGAGCCGUCGCAAUUAUGUUUGAAAAGCAGAAGGUCCCUGGUGCUCUCAAUCAACUUGUCAGCCUACCUUAGCCUCAGAUUAUCUGUUUUCUCCCCUCCUCUGAAUAAAAUACAUACAGGGUACUUAUACUGUCAACUACUUCUCUGAACAAUCGAGUGACUGAUUGAAAAUUAUAGGCAGAUACAUUUACUUGUUCUCUAAGCACUUGGGAUUCAAAGCAAUUAUUUUAGAAUGCAAUGUUAGAAUAGCUCUUAUAUUCUGGCACUUAGUUUAUAAUAAUGUGAUGUUUGUCUUAGAGAAAAUAUUAUUUUGUAACCUGGAUAUAUCAGGAGGGAUGUUAUUUGAAUAGCCGUCUUUGCCUGUUGUAAAGAUGGCGAGUGUUAGAGUUACCAAGAAAAGAAACAAUGAAUGCCCAACAAAUGCAUACUGCAUUUUAAAAGAAUGUAGUAAUCUGACUCUGCUCUGGGUUUGAGGAAGUCGUUUACAAAAAUAAAACAUAGGUAGCAAAGGUAUAACAAUAAAAAAUGAUUCAUCAUAUUUAACUUUACUCCAUUUUACAUUAAUAAUAAAGGUUCCCAGGUUGAAUGGAAUUAGUCUACCAAACUGGGUUUCACAUCCUUUAUAAUAGUCUGAUUCCAUUUUUAUUCGGAUUAAAUAAGGUACAAUUUUGGGUACAGUACUCAGAAUCCAUGAAGAUCAGCUAAUAAAAUUUUAGGAUGUCUGGUUUGUAUAACACUAAUAUAUACCAUGUAACAAAUGUUAAAACACCUAUUUGUCUUCAACUAUGUACCCAGCAACCUAGAACUCUGGAAGAAUGAAAGAAGAGAAACACCUGUAUCCUACUUAAAAUUGUGUAGUAUCAACUGAGGGAGACAUGGAUGGAAAUGACAGCUAGAAGAGACCAAAUAAAAUGAGGCUGUAGCACUCCAAAUGAUAAUGAGGACUGUGAAGAUGAGGGUGUGAUCUUACCCAAGGAAGUGCUGGUGAGGUGCCAUCUGAACAAAGAUGACAGUGCAGUGAGGAAGUAAGCCUCAUGGAGCACAGGUGAAGCUGAGCCUGGUCGUGGUCCAAGUUUAUGCUGGACAGAGGUAUCAACUCAGGAGCACAUGAUGUAGGGGCAAAAAGAUAAUCCAUUUUUCAUAACCAUCACAAGGGGCAUGGCUGAUGUUUCUACAGCAAAGACAGCUUAGCAAGAGAAAACUUAUGAUUUUAUGCUAAGUCUAAUGAAAGAAAUGAAUACAUGUGACUAAAUAGAAUUGGAAUAAAAUAUAAUCUAACCGUAAUCAAUGGAAAGUGGUGGGGGUACUCAACAAGGCCUGUAUUUUUGGAUUCUUCUUGUUCCCUGUAUGUAGCAUUUCUUCCCUCCACAUAUAGGGCAGGGCACCUGUCAUAUGAAAGUCUAUCAGGGAGAAGGGAAAAGGUCAGUGAGUGAGCGUUGUAGGUUUCAAGGUUUGAUGUAGGAGAGGAUUUCAGUUUCUUUGACUCACCUGGCUGCAGGUCACAGGGCAGGGGAUUAGAGAAGAUCAGAAGGACCUUGUUUCUGAGGCCCUCUCAAUCUCCUUCAGUUCAAAAUACUCAGCAUUCCAAGGCGCCAUAUUUUAGAAUAUUAUGUUCUGACCCCCAGUGGUGUUGAAAUUUCCUUCUUUCUUGUUUUGACAAGAUGUGAAUUCAUAAGGAAACCAGUGUUUCCUAUCUUAUUAAAACCUUCCAAGAGCAUCUAAAAAUGAUAAAGCAUGUCGGAUUGUUUUUGGAGACUAGCAUAACACCAAGAAAAAAAACUUUCUUUAGCAGUUCUGAACAAUGAAAAACAAAGAACAGAAAUACACAAGUUUUGAGCAAAUGAAAGGAUCACAACUCCCAAUAUGAGAUUUUUUUUUUUAAUCUUGAAGAAAGUCUACAGGCAUAGCCUGUACUUUUUUGAUAUUUUUCUAUUAUAUAUUAUGUUUUCUCUGGGUUUCUAAUAUAAAUUUUAUUAAAAUAAGUAUUUUCUUUUUCUAUUCUUAGACGAUGCCUGAGAUGUUAUCAGAGAAAGGGGUCAAAAAUAUUUUUAUUCAGCUUUUGUACUUCUGUUCAACAUUGUCCUAAAGAGCACAGCUGAAAAAUAAACAAGCAAAAGAAAGGAGGGAGAGAGAGA
This is a long non-coding RNA of Piliocolobus tephrosceles (Ugandan red Colobus), 2228 nucleotides long. RefSeq lists it as uncharacterized. The record is from RefSeq and is a predicted model, not a curated record. Lineage: Eukaryota; Metazoa; Chordata; Mammalia; Primates; Cercopithecidae. The transcript is spliced from 2 exons.